This 722-nucleotide ribosomal RNA is filed under the name Klebsiella pneumoniae. RNAcentral's name for it is "bacterial SSU rRNA". It matches the Rfam family "Bacterial small subunit ribosomal RNA", at positions 1 to 714 of the family's 1533-position model. The record is from RNAcentral. Lineage: Bacteria; Pseudomonadati; Pseudomonadota; Gammaproteobacteria; Enterobacterales; Enterobacteriaceae.
AAAUUGAAGAGUUUGAUCAUGGCUCAGAUUGAACGCUGGCGGCAGGCCUAACACAUGCAAGUCGAGCGGUAGCACAGAGAGCUUGCUCUCGGGUGACGAGCGGCGGACGGGUGAGUAAUGUCUGGGAAACUGCCUGAUGGAGGGGGAUAACUACUGGAAACGGUAGCUAAUACCGCAUAANGUCGCAAGACCAAAGUGGGGGACCUUCGGGCCUCAUGCCAUCAGAUGUGCCCAGAUGGGAUUAGCUAGUAGGUGGGGUAACGGCUCACCUAGGCGACGAUCCCUAGCUGGUCUGAGAGGAUGACCAGCCACACUGGAACUGAGACACGGUCCAGACUCCUACGGGAGGCAGCAGUGGGGAAUAUUGCACAAUGGGCGCAAGCCUGAUGCAGCCAUGCCGCGUGUGUGAAGAAGGCCUUCGGGUUGUAAAGCACUUUCAGCGGGGAGGAAGGCGNUNAGGUUAAUAACCUNNNCGAUUGACGUUACCCGCAGAAGAAGCACCGGCUAACUCCGUGCCAGCAGCCGCGGUAAUACGGAGGGUGCAAGCGUUAAUCGGAAUUACUGGGCGUAAAGCGCACGCAGGCGGUCUGUCAAGUCGGAUGUGAAAUCCCCGGGCUNAACCUGGGAACUGCAUUCGAAACUGGCAGGCUAGAGUCUUGUAGAGGGGGGUAGAAUUCCAGGUGUAGCGGUGAAAUGCGUAGAGAUCUGGAGGAAUACCGGUG